UUAAGCGACUAAGCGUACACGGUGGAUGCCCUGGCAGUCAGAGGCGAUGAAGGACGUGCUAAUCUGCGAUAAGCGUCGGUAAGGUGAUAUGAACCGUUAUAACCGGCGAUUUCCGAAUGGGGAAACCCAGUGUGAUUCGUCACACUAUCAUUAACUGAAUCCAUAGGUUAAUGAGGCGAACCGGGGGAACUGAAACAUCUAAGUACCCCGAGGAAAAGAAAUCAACCGAGAUUCCCCCAGUAGCGGCGAGCGAACGGGGAGCAGCCCAGAGCCUGAAUCAGUGUGUGUGUUAGUGGAAGCGUCUGGAAAGGCGCGCGAUACAGGGUGACAGCCCCGUACACAAAAAUGCACAUACUGUGAGCUCGAUGAGUAGGGCGGGACACGUGGUAUCCUGUCUGAAUAUGGGGGGACCAUCCUCCAAGGCUAAAUACUCCUGACUGACCGAUAGUGAACCAGUACCGUGAGGGAAAGGCGAAAAGAACCCCGGCGAGGGGAGUGAAAAAGAACCUGAAACCGUGUACGUACAAGCAGUGGGAGCACAGAGCAAUCUGUGUGACUGCGUACCUUUUGUAUAAUGGGUCAGCGACUUAUAUUCUGUAGCAAGGUUAACCGAAUAGGGGAGCCGAAGGGAAACCGAGUCUUAACUGGGCGUUAAGUUGCAGGGUAUAGACCCGAAACCCGGUGAUCUAGCCAUGGGCAGGUUGAAGGUUGGGUAACACUAACUGGAGGACCGAACCGACUAAUGUUGAAAAAUUAGCGGAUGACUUGUGGCUGGGGGUGAAAGGCCAAUCAAACCGGGAGAUAGCUGGUUCUCCCCGAAAGCUAUUUAGGUAGCGCCUCGUGAAUUCAUCUCCGGGGGUAGAGCACUGUUUCGGCAAGGGGGUCAUCCCGACUUACCAACCCGAUGCAAACUGCGAAUACCGGAGAAUGUUAUCACGGGAGACACACGGCGGGUGCUAACGUCCGUCGUGAAGAGGGAAACAACCCAGACCGCCAGCUAAGGUCCCAAAGUCAUGGUUAAGUGGGAAACGAUGUGGGAAGGCCCAGACAGCCAGGAUGUUGGCUUAGAAGCAGCCAUCAUUUAAAGAAAGCGUAAUAGCUCACUGGUCGAGUCGGCCUGCGCGGAAGAUGUAACGGGGCUAAACCAUGCACCGAAGCUGCGGCAGCGACGCUGAUGCGUUGUUGGGUAGGGGAGCGUUCUGUAAGCCUGUGAAGGUGUGCUGUGAGGCAUGCUGGAGGUAUCAGAAGUGCGAAUGCUGACAUAAGUAACGAUAAAGCGGGUGAAAAGCCCGCUCGCCGGAAGACCAAGGGUUCCUGUCCAACGUUAAUCGGGGCAGGGUGAGUCGACCCCUAAGGCGAGGCCGAAAGGCGUAGUCGAUGGGAAACAGGUUAAUAUUCCUGUACUUGGUGUUACUGCGAAGGGGGGACGGAGAAGGCUAUGUUGGCCGGGCGACGGUUGUCCCGGUUUAAGCGUGUAGGCUGGUUUUCCAGGCAAAUCCGGAAAAUCAAGGCUGAGGCGUGAUGACGAGGCACUACGGUGCUGAAGCAACAAAUGCCCUGCUUCCAGGAAAAGCCUCUAAGCAUCAGGUAACAUCAAAUCGUACCCCAAACCGACACAGGUGGUCAGGUAGAGAAUACCAAGGCGCUUGAGAGAACUCGGGUGAAGGAACUAGGCAAAAUGGUGCCGUAACUUCGGGAGAAGGCACGCUGAUAUGUAGGUGAAGUCCCUCGCGGAUGGAGCUGAAAUCAGUCGAAGAUACCAGCUGGCUGCAACUGUUUAUUAAAAACACAGCACUGUGCAAACACGAAAGUGGACGUAUACGGUGUGACGCCUGCCCGGUGCCGGAAGGUUAAUUGAUGGGGUUAGCGCAAGCGAAGCUCUUGAUCGAAGCCCCGGUAAACGGCGGCCGUAACUAUAACGGUCCUAAGGUAGCGAAAUUCCUUGUCGGGUAAGUUCCGACCUGCACGAAUGGCGUAAUGAUGGCCAGGCUGUCUCCACCCGAGACUCAGUGAAAUUGAACUCGCUGUGAAGAUGCAGUGUACCCGCGGCAAGACGGAAAGACCCCGUGAACCUUUACUAUAGCUUGACACUGAACAUUGAGCCUUGAUGUGUAGGAUAGGUGGGAGGCUUUGAAGUGUGGACGCCAGUCUGCAUGGAGCCGACCUUGAAAUACCACCCUUUAAUGUUUGAUGUUCUAACGUUGACCCGUGAUCCGGGUUGCGGACAGUGUCUGGUGGGUAGUUUGACUGGGGCGGUCUCCUCCUAAAGAGUAACGGAGGAGCACGAAGGUUGGCUAAUCCUGGUCGGACAUCAGGAGGUUAGUGCAAUGGCAUAAGCCAGCUUGACUGCGAGCGUGACGGCGCGAGCAGGUGCGAAAGCAGGUCAUAGUGAUCCGGUGGUUCUGAAUGGAAGGGCCAUCGCUCAACGGAUAAAAGGUACUCCGGGGAUAACAGGCUGAUACCGCCCAAGAGUUCAUAUCGACGGCGGUGUUUGGCACCUCGAUGUCGGCUCAUCACAUCCUGGGGCUGAAGUAGGUCCCAAGGGUAUGGCUGUUCGCCAUUUAAAGUGGUACGCGAGCUGGGUUUAGAACGUCGUGAGACAGUUCGGUCCCUAUCUGCCGUGGGCGCUGGAGAACUGAGGGGGGCUGCUCCUAGUACGAGAGGACCGGAGUGGACGCAUCACUGGUGUUCGGGUUGUCAUGCCAAUGGCACUGCCCGGUAGCUAAAUGCGGAAGAGAUAAGUGCUGAAAGCAUCUAAGCACGAAACUUGCCCCGAGAUGAGUUCUCCCUGACUCCUUGAGAGUCCUGAAGGAACGUUGAAGACGACGACGUUGAUAGGCCGGGUGUGUAAGCGCAGCGAUGCGUUGAGCUAACCGGUACUAAUGAACCGUGAGGCUUAACCU
RNAcentral lists this ribosomal RNA (2903 nucleotides) under Escherichia coli. Its description in RNAcentral is "23S ribosomal RNA". It matches the Rfam family "Bacterial large subunit ribosomal RNA". The record is from RNAcentral. Lineage: Bacteria; Pseudomonadati; Pseudomonadota; Gammaproteobacteria; Enterobacterales; Enterobacteriaceae.